GGAGAUCCAGCCAGUCUUGUGGCUAUAAAUGCCAUCUCAGAUGACUCCCAUAAACCUGUCCUCUGCACAGAUCUCACCCCCCAGUCCCAGACUUAUCUAUCCAGCUGCCAUCUGGACAUCUUCGUGUGGAUGGCUGACAGACUUCCCGGGGUGCUCAAAUCAUAAUUCCCAAUAUCCCUCUCAACCCCGCCUGCCCUUGACUUCCUCUUGCCAAUGGCAUCAUUAUUCUUUCAGCGGCUCAGGCUGAAAACUGUGGAAGCAUUCUCGACUCAUCCUCUUUCACAGCCCGCAUCCAGUCCAUCAGCUAAUUCCGUCAGCUGGACGCAGACCCCCGGGACCCCCUCAGGGUGUAGGGGGAAGGAGUGUUGCUCCUUGGACUGGUAGAUGCCCAGAGUCAGAGGUGACAAUGUGCUUAGACACCCUGCAAGGGGCCCCCCCAGCCUAGGCACGCAGGCCAUAUAUAGCCUCUGUAAGAUGUGGGGUUGGGUUAGGGGGCGGGAGGAGAGACUCUGUAUUUCAGGGGACCACUGAGGUGAGGCCAGCUCAGCAGCAGCCAUGGCACACAGUGGAUCAGAGCCCUUCCCAAGGGUUAAGGACCAUGUGAACUGGGAACAGGAUGAGUUCCUCACAGCUGAGUAGGAUAGAGGCUUACGUCAGAACAAGGUGAUCCCAAGGCAAUGGUUUUUUUUCUUUCUUUCUUUUUUUUUUUUUUUUUUUGAGACAGAGUCUCUUUCUGUCACCCGGUCUGGAGUGAAGUGGCGCAGUCUCAGCUCUCUGCAACCUCUGCCUCCCAGGUUCAAGCAAUUCUUCUGCCUCAGCCUCCCAAGUAGCUGGGAUUACAGGUAUGUGCCACCAUGCCUGGCUAAUUUUUGUAUUUUUAGUAGAGAUGCGUUAUUUCCAUGUUGGCCAGGCUGGUCUCGAACUACUGACCUCAGGUGAUCCACUCGCCUCGGCCUCCCAAAGUGCUGAGAUUAUAGGCAUGAGCCACUGCGCCCGGCCGAGGCAAUGGUUUUCAGCUAGGGUGUCCCCAGCUGUCAUUUGGCAAUGUCUGGAGACAUUUGGGUUGUCAUAACUGAGUGUGUGUGUGUGUUUGUGUGCACAUGCUGUAGUGGCCAAGGAUGCUGCUAAACACCCUACAAGGCACAGAAUAGCCAUCACAAUUAUUUGGCUCCAAAUGUCAAUAGAGCUGAGGGAGAGAAAUAUUAAUAUAAACACAGCAGUUCCUGCACACCGAGGUUGAGGCUCAAGGGUGAAACCUGCCUGCUACAUGGCAAGCAGAUUGCAACUGACCACAGCACAUAAUAUGACACCCAAUGGCAAGAGAACGAUGUCAAGGGUCACUGAGAGAGAUGAAAGAUGGUGCAUAUUCAUUGACACCCCUCUCAUUGCAAAGUGGGAGGUCUGUGUCCCCUCCCCUUGAAUUCCAUGGAGUUGGGACUACUCUGACCAAUAGAAUACAACAGAAAUAACAUCUUGCAGUUUCCAAGCCUUAUAAAACUGGCAGCUUCCACUUCUUGUUUCUUGGGACACACUGCCUUGGAGCCUGUGCUGCCACUGAAGAAGUCUGAGUGCCCUGAGGCCACCAUGGUGUGGGGAAGCCCACGCUAGCCUUGUGGCAAGCCAACUGUUCCGCAACAUAGUGCGGGCUCCAGGUAACAUGAAGGAAGCUGUCUUGGGCCCUCUAGCCCAGCCCAGUCUCCAGCGAAUCCCACUGAGUGACCCUAGUCAAGCCCACAUGGAGCAGAAGAAUCACCUAGCUGAGCCCUGACCCACAAAAUCUUGAGAAGGAAUUAAAUUGCUAUUGUUCCCAGCCAGAAAAGCAAGGUAGCUUAAGGUAGUUUGUUCCACAGCAGUAGGUAACUAGAACAGUCAUGUCCAAGGAUUUGUUCCUGCACUUUCCCCUUCGCCACGUAUGGCAGAAAUUCUCAGGAAUUCUCAUGAGCCAGUGUCAUGCUAGUGCUUGUUGCAUCUGCUCCUCUCCAGCCGCCCCAGCCCACUGAUCCAAGCACUCUGUGAAAUGACUUUUGUGUGUCGACUUCUUCCCACGAGGAAGACGUUUCUUUCAUUGCCAUGUGCUGGACCCCAGUGCAGAGCCCGGGGCAUUGUCAGUGCUUAGUGUUUGUUGAAUGAGCCAAUGGAACUGGUCACCCUCCGCUGCCCUGGGGGUCCCUCAGCCUUUCCCAGAAGGUCCCUUGGACCUUCCCUCUGGGCUUCCUCACUCCCUUUUCUGCUUAUUCUUUUCUGAGCCGAAUUGUUGUAGCCCCUCAGAUCCAAAUGGCCCAACCCCACUGUCUCCUUCCCAGCACCUCUGUUGAGAAAUACCAAGUGGUAGAGAGUGUGCCUGUGUGGACGUGGGUGGGAUACGUGCCUCUUCUACACCGCCCGUAGGAAGGUACGCUUAGCAAUAGCUAUUGAAAACACAAAAGUGAUUCUGCUCUUAGGAAUGUCUCCCGCAGGGACCCUACCCUGGUGGCACAGGACGUCUCACACAGCACUGUCUGGGACAGCAAAAGGGAUGGAAACCACCUGAGUCCAACUAUGGAGGACACUGGAAAACACGAUGCUGCCUCCAUAGGAUGGGAUAUUGUUCUGGAGGCUGCAAGCCCAGGUUCAAGGCAUCAGCAGGUGUGGUUUCCUCCGAGGCCUCUCCCCGUGGCUUGCAGAUGGCUGCCUUCUUCCUGCAUCCUCACGUGGUCCCUCCUCUGCACUCCAGCAUCCUUAAUGUCUCUUUGUGUGUCCAACUUUCCGCCCCCCCCCACCCCUUUUUUUUCUGAUGGAGUCCACCCAGACUGGAGUACAGUGGCGUGAUCUCAGCUCACUGCAACCUCCACUUCCUGGGCUCAAGUGAUUCCCCCGCUUCAGCCUCCCGAGUAGCUGGGAUUACAGGCAUGUGCCACCAUGCCUGGCUAAUUUUUGUAUUUUUAAUAGAGAUGGGAUUUCACCAUAUUGGCCAGGCUGGUCUCAAACUCCUGACCUCAAGUGAUCCACCCAUCUCGGCCUCCCAAAGUGUUGAGAUUACAGGUGUGAGCCACUGCGCCCAGCCCCGAACUUUCCUCUUAAAAGGAUAUCAGUCAGGCCAGGCGCAGUGGCUCAUACCUGUAAUCCCUGCACUUUGGGAGGUUGAGGCGGGUGGAUUACUUGAGGUCAGGAGUUGGAGACCAGCCUGGCCAACAUGGUGAAAUCCCGUGUCUACUAAAAAUACAAAAAUUAGCCGGGCGUGGUGGCAGGCGCCUGUAGUCCCAGCCACUCGGGAGGCUGAGGCAGGAGAAUUGCUUGAACCUGGGAGGCAGAGGUUGCAGUCAGCUGAGAUCAUGCUACUGCACUCCAGUCUGGGCAACAGAGCAAGACUCUAUCUCAAAAAAAAAAAAGACACCAGUCAGACUGGAGUAGGGCUCACCCUAAUGGCCUGAUUUUAACUUAAUUACCUCUUUUUUUUUCUUUCUUUUUUUGAGACAGAGUCUCGCUCUGUCACCCAGGCUUGAGUGCAGUGGCGCGAUCUCAGCUCACUGCAACCUCUGUCUCCCGGGUUCAAGUGAUUCUCCAGCCUUAGCCUCCCAAGUAGCUGGAAUUACAGGCGUGUACCACCACACCAAGCUAAUUUUUGUAUUUUUUAGUAGAGACAGGGUUUCUUCAUGUUGGUCAGGCUGGUCUCAAACUCCUGACCUCAGGUGAUACACCUGCCUCGGCCUCCCAAAGUGAUGGGAUUAUAGGUGUGAGCCACUGCACCCAGCCUUAAUUACCCCUUUAAAGGCCCUAUAUGCAAAUACAGUCACAUUCUGAGCUACUGGGGGUUAGGGCUUCAACAUAGGAAUUCAGGCAGACAUGAUUCAGCCCAUAACAAGGGCUUUCACUUUUUUUUUUUUUGUAGAAACAGGGUCUCACUAUGUUGCCCAGGCUACUCUUGAACUCCUGGGUUCAAGUGAUUCUCCAGCCUCAGCCCCCAGAUUAGCUGGGGCUACAGGUGCACCAGCACGCCCAGCUAAUAUUUUUACUUUCAUUUUUUUUAGACGGAGUUUAGCUAUCUUUGCCCAGGCUAGAGUGCAAUAGCGUGAUCUUGGCUCACCACAACCUCUGCCUUCCGGGUUCAAGAAUUCUCCUGCCUCAGCCUCCCAAGUAGCUGGGAUUACAGGCAUGCACCACCAUGACCGGCUAAUUUUGUAUUUUUAGUAGAGACGGGGUUUCUCCAUGUUGGUCAGGCUGCUCUCGAACUCCCGACCUCAGAUGGUCUGCCCGCCUCAGCUUCCCAAGGUGCUGGGAUUACAGGCGUGAGCCACCGCGCCCGGCCAAUAUUUUUUGUGGAGUCAGGGUCCUACUAUGUUUCCCAGGCUGGUCUUGAACUUCCAGGCUCAAGCGAUCCUCCUGCCUUGGCCUCCUAAAGUACUGUGAUUCCAGGCCUGAGCCACAGCACCCUGCUGGCUUUCACUUUUUACUUUAUUUCUAUGUUGUUAAAAUCUAUUACAAUAAACAUUACUUUUAAAGGAUUUUGUGCACUUCAAUCCAAAUGUCCCUGAAGCAUCUACCUCCCUCCUGGGCCUUCUCUGAAGUCAGAGUAGGGGCAGCUGAAGCCCUCCCUCUGCUGGCUCCAGGAACGAAACCCCCUGGCCCACUAAGGCCCUUCCCCUGGGGAGGGUGGCGUGGGAUAAGAACACUCAGUAUCUGUCUGGCCCUCUCAAGAUCACUGAGGACUUUCCCAGACAGCCGACAUGGUCUUCAGAUCAGUCUGCCAAACGUCACAUAGAGGCUGGGCACGGUGGCUCACGUCUGUAAUCCCAGCACUUUGGGAGGGCAACGUGGGUGGAUCACCUGAAGUCAGGAGUUCGAGACCAGGCUGGCCGACAUUGCAAAACCUCGUCUCUACAAAAAUAUAAAAGUUAGCUGGGCGUGGUGGCACGCGCCUGUAGUCCCAGCUACUCGGGAGGCUGAGGCAGGAGAAUCACUUGAACCUGGGAGGCGGAGGUUGCAGUGGACCAGGAUCGUACCACUGCACUCCAGCCUGGCCAACAGAGUAAGACUCCAUCUCAAAAAAAAAAAAAAAAUCAGGUGGAGGGGCAUCCUCUGUUUUCCAGGCUCCUGGUUUAUAGCUGCAAGCUCUGGACAUUUAAUACCUUGUAAUCCAUCCUUCCCUUAUAUACCUCUCAACAUAAUGACUGUACAAUAUGGCCAAUGAAACGGAUAGUAAAAUGAAACAUAGGCAAGUAAUAAAGUGAGAUAUGAAGACAGUAGUACAACCUGGAUGAGGGUGGAAUGCAAAAUUGUCAUCAGAGAAGACGACAGGAGGACCUGAGAGCUGGAGGGACGGACGCUUAUCUACCCAAAUGAGGCUAUAAAAAGUAGAAAGAUGGCAGGGUAAAAAUGGGGGAGGGCUGCCACUUAAGACUCUCAGGAAACAGUGAUGCAUCAGACUUUAUCAUUAAGUCCCAGGGGAGAGGAGUGGAUCUGGGGAUCCCUUUAGAUAUGGUAGAAUUCUCCUGGGUCCUGCUCUGGUCUUAAAUCUCAGACCAGUAGCAGGAAAACCCUAACUGUACUGUGGUCCUGAAUGUCACUGCAACUUCAGCCCUGCUGUGGUGGUGUAUCUGCUCCUCUGGCUGGCUCUGCCACCUUGAAAGGUGAGACCAUGUGGAGCAGAGCCAAGGGGCCUCAGCUGACAGCCAGCACCAACCAUCAGUCAUGUGAGUGAGACCACCUUGGACCCCCAACCCCAGUUGGGUUGUCAGAUGACUAUAGCUGCAGGUACAAGAGUGACCCAGUGACACCAGCAGAUGAACCGGCUAGCUUAGCUCAGCCCAAACUGCUGACUUAGAACUGUUGUUAUGUUAAGCCAGUACAUUUUCAGUGACUCAUUACAAAGCAGUAGAUAACUGUGACAGUCUAAGAGGAUCUAAGUUUGGAAACAGGAUUGAAUAUUUAAGAUAACUGAUUUGCCAGAUUUAUAAGUUUAUUAGUAUAUAAGAGUUGCUUGGCUGGGCACAGUGGCUCAUGCCUGUAACCCUAACACCUUGGAAGGCUGAAGCAGGAAGAUUGCUUGAGCCCAGGAGUUUGAGACCAGCCUUGGCAACACAGUGAGACCCAAUCUCUUAAAAAAAAAAAAAAAAAAAAAAACUCCGUCUCCCUCUCGCUCUCCGUCUCCCUCUCGCUCUCCCUCUCCCCACGGUCUCCCUCUCAUGCGGAGCCGAAGCUGGACUGUACUGCUGCCAUCUCGGCUCACUGCAUCCUCCCUGCCUGAUUCUCCUGCCUCAGUCUGCCGAGUGCCUGCGAUUGCAGGCACGCGCCGCCACGCCUGACUGGUUUUGGUGGAGACAGGGUUUCGCUGUGUUGGCCGGGCCGGUCUCCAGCCCCUAACCGCGAGUGAUCCGCCAACCUCGGCCUCCCGAG
Molecule: long non-coding RNA, 6372 nt
Filed under: Homo sapiens (human)
Lineage: Eukaryota; Metazoa; Chordata; Mammalia; Primates; Hominidae
Description: HSALNT0176532
Source: RNAcentral